UACGUAGGGGGCGAGCGUUGUCCGGAAUGACUGGGCGUAAAGGGCGCGUAGACGGCUUUUUAAGUCUGGAGUGAAAGUCCUGCUUUCAAGGUGAGAAGUGCUUUGGAGACUGGGGAGCUUGAGUGCGGAAGAGGUAAGUGGAAUUCCCAGUGUAGCGGUGAAAUGCGUAGAGAUUGGGAGGAACACCAGUGGCGAAGGCGACUUACUGGGCCGUAACUGACGUUGAUGCGCGAAAGCGUGGGGAGCGAACAGGAUUAGAUACCCUGGUAGUCCCUGA
This 277-nucleotide ribosomal RNA is filed under the name uncultured prokaryote. RNAcentral describes it as "partial 16S ribosomal RNA". It matches the Rfam family "Bacterial small subunit ribosomal RNA", at positions 524 to 800 of the family's 1533-position model. The record is from RNAcentral.